GCCUCCCGUUCGUUCCCGUGGCUUCUGGAGUCUUCUAGAUGGUAGAAAAUUGCGCGGCAUGUUAAUAUCUCUAUGUAAACCCGACGUGUGGGCCUUUCUUUCAUAUUUCCUGAUAACCCCCUGCAGAAAUAGACAAACACCAAAACUUGUGGAAUUCUGUCAGAUAAAACCCUAAGUCUAGGUGUUGGUUGCAUUUGGAUCCUUUUCCAUGAUUAGUUAAUGGUUAAAUGUGAGUAUUAAGGACCGUCAACA
This 252-nucleotide long non-coding RNA is filed under the name Sorghum bicolor (sorghum). RNAcentral's name for it is "long non-coding RNA (SBIC_LNC014511)". The record is from RNAcentral. Lineage: Eukaryota; Viridiplantae; Streptophyta; Magnoliopsida; Poales; Poaceae.